RNAcentral lists this transfer RNA (76 nucleotides) under Planctomycetota bacterium. RNAcentral describes it as "tRNA-Lys". It matches the Rfam family "tRNA". From Rfam's summary of the family: Transfer RNA (tRNA) molecules are approximately 80 nucleotides in length. Their secondary structure includes four short double-helical elements and three loops (D, anti-codon, and T loops). The record is from RNAcentral. Lineage: Bacteria; Pseudomonadati; Planctomycetota.
GCCCGCUUAGCUCAGCUGGUAGAGCAACUGACUCUUAAUCAGUAGGUCCUGGGUUCGAAUCCCGGAGCGGGUACCA